Molecule: ribosomal RNA, 424 nt
Filed under: uncultured cyanobacterium
Lineage: Bacteria; Bacillati; Cyanobacteriota
Description: bacterial SSU rRNA
Rfam family: Bacterial small subunit ribosomal RNA
Source: RNAcentral
GGGGAAUUUUCCGCAAUGGGCGAAAGCCUGACGGAGCAAGACCGCGUGGGGGAUGAAGGUUUGUGGAUUGUAAACCCCUUUUGAUUGGGAAGAAUACUGACGGUACCAAUCGAAUAAGCCUCGGCUAACUCCGUGCCAGCAGCCGCGGUAAUACGGAGGAUGCAAGCGUUAUCCGGAAUGAUUGGGCGUAAAGCGUCCGCAGGUGGUUUAUCAAGUCUGCUGUCAAAGAGUUUGGCUCAACCAAAUAAAGGCAGUGGAAACUGACAGACUGGAGUGCGGUAAGGGCAGAGGGAAUUCCUGGUGUAGCGGUGAAAUGCGUAGAGAUCAGGAAGAACACCGGUGGCGAAAGCGCUCUGCUGGGCCGUAACUGACACUGAGGGACGAAAGCUAGGGGAGCGAAUGGGAUUAGAUACCCCAGNUAGUC